This 127-nucleotide small RNA is filed under the name Marmota monax (woodchuck). The record is from RNAcentral. Lineage: Eukaryota; Metazoa; Chordata; Mammalia; Rodentia; Sciuridae.
GCCGGGUGCGGUGGCGCACGCCUGUAAUCCCAGCAGCUCGGGAGGCUGAGGCAGGAGGGUCCCGAGUUCAAAGUCAGCCUCAAUAAUUUAGCAAAGCUCUAAGCAACUCAGUGAGACCCUGUCUCUA